This 477-nucleotide ribosomal RNA is filed under the name Triticum aestivum (bread wheat). RNAcentral's name for it is "partial small subunit ribosomal RNA". Lineage: Eukaryota; Viridiplantae; Streptophyta; Magnoliopsida; Poales; Poaceae. The record is from RNAcentral.
AUGAUGAGAGAUUCUGAUGAGGUAGAUGAAGAGGAAGAGGAUGCUGCUCCAACUCCUAAGGCUCAAAAGCUAAUGGGAGAUGCAGUUAAGUCAGGGGUUGCUCCUAAGCCCAAACUUGCUCCCAAAGCUGCUGCUCCAGCCACAAAGACUGCACCCAAGAGGAGUACAAGGAAUAUACCUGCUGAGGAAAAGAACAAGGCCCCAGUGCCUAAAGUGGAAGAGGAAGAAGCUGAAGCCCAAGUGCUAAGGAAGCUCAAGCCAAAGAUUCUAGACCAUAAUGAUGCACAUCCUGUUGCAGAGGACAUGAAACUCAGAAAGGAUGCAGGUUCAAGACUUUGGAGAAAGAAUGACCCAUAUGCUGUAAGGAGGAGAACUGAUGUGGACUACAGGUUUCACACUAAAGAACAACAGGUUUUCUAUGAAACUGUUUUGCUUGACAAGAAGCCCAUAGUGUGUGGCAUGAGAUGGGUUGACUAG